CAAGGUCGAAGUCUCUGAUAUAAAAAGGAUCCGCCGUCUUCGAUGGUUAUGUCACACAAGCGCUUUGGUUGCUUUGGUGUUGUUCAUCCACUUACCUACUGAGCUUCAUAUCGAGUCAGUCGCAUCUUCUGACAAUGAAGACUUUGGUGGCACUCGUUUUCCUUCUCUCCGCCAUCCUCUCCGUCGUCUCGGCACUACCUGUGUACGCCUAUGCAUAUGCACCAUAUGCAUACGCUCCAUACGCAUAUGGCUAUGAUUACGGAUACGUUGCUCCUUACUCAGCCGCCGCCUACUACGUUCCCUGGUACAAACGUUAAGUCAUCCCAUAUUCAAGGACGUGAUUUAACCUGAAAAUGGCUGCCAUACGCAUCACAUUGACAGAAUUCGGAUAAAAUCAACUUUUGAAAAAUCGUUUGUUCUAAGAUAGAUGCAUCAUCAAAUUAAAUAAAAACAGCAGAAAAAAGAAAAGGAAUUCGAUGCUUUCAUUGCUACCCACCCCUCAGUGUCUCUGAGCUUUCUGCCUCUAAAUUAGAUGUUAAAUAUCAUCGCUUCCUGCUUGUUAAAUCUGAAUAAAGGUUUUUUUGUGACAUGAAACAA
Molecule: long non-coding RNA, 597 nt
Organism: Argiope bruennichi
Lineage: Eukaryota; Metazoa; Arthropoda; Arachnida; Araneae; Araneidae
Exons: 3
Source: RefSeq, a predicted model, not a curated record